This 2923-nucleotide ribosomal RNA is filed under the name Staphylococcus aureus. RNAcentral describes it as "23S ribosomal RNA". It matches the Rfam family "Bacterial large subunit ribosomal RNA". Lineage: Bacteria; Bacillati; Bacillota; Bacilli; Caryophanales; Staphylococcaceae. The record is from RNAcentral.
GGGUUGUGAGGUUAAGCGACUAAGCGUACACGGUGGAUGCCCUGGCAGUCAGAGGCGAUGAAGGACGUGCUAAUCUGCGAAAAGCGUCGGUAAGGUGAUAUGAACCGUUAUAACCGGCGAUGUCCGAAUGGGGAAACCCAGUGCAAUUCGUUGCACUAUCGUUAACUGAAUACAUAGGUUAACGAGGCGAACCGGGGGAACUGAAACAUCUAAGUACCCCGAGGAAAAGAAAUCAACCGAGAUUCCCCCAGUAGCGGCGAGCGAACGGGGAGCAGCCCAGAGUCUGAAUCAGCUUGUGUGUUAGUGGAACGGUCUGGAAAGUCCGACGGUACAGGGUGAUAGUCCCGUACACCAAAAUGCACAGGCUGUGAACUCGAAGAGUAGGGCGGGACACGUGGUAUCCUGUCUGAAUAUGGGGGGACCAUCCUCCAAGGCUAAAUACUCCUGACUGACCGAUAGUGAACCAGUACCGUGAGGGAAAGGCGAAAAGAACCCCGGCGAGGGGAGUGAAAAAGAACCUGAAACCGUGUACGUACAAGCAGUGGGAGCACCUUCGGGUGUGACUGCGUACCUUUUGUAUAAUGGGUCAGCGACUUAUAUUCUGUAGCAAGGUUAACCGUAUAGGGGAGCCGCAGGGAAACCGAGUCUUAACUGGGCGUUAAGUUGCAGGGUAUAGACCCGAAACCCGGUGAUCUAGCCAUGGGCAGGUUGAAGGUUGGGUAACACUAACUGGAGGACCGAACCGACUAAUGUUGAAAAAUUAGCGGAUGACUUGUGGCUGGGGGUGAAAGGCCAAUCAAACCGGGAGAUAGCUGGUUCUCCCCGAAAGCUAUUUAGGUAGCGCCUCGUGAACUCAUCUUCGGGGGUAGAGCACUGUUUCGGCUAGGGGGUCAUCCCGACUUACCAACCCGAUGCAAACUACGAAUACCGAAGAAUGUUAUCACGGGAGACACACGGCGGGUGCUAACGUCCGUCGUGAAGAGGGAAACAACCCAGACCGCCAGCUAAGGUCCCAAAGUCAUGGUUAAGUGGGAAACGAUGUGGGAAGGCACAGACAGCCAGGAUGUUGGCUUAGAAGCAGCCAUCAUUUAAAGAAAGCGUAAUAGCUCACUGGUCGAGUCGGCCUGCGCGGAAGAUGUAACGGGGCUAAACCAUGCACCGAAGCUGCGGCAGCGACACUAUGUGUUGUUGGGUAGGGGAGCGUUCUGUAAGCCUGCGAAGGUGUGCUGUGAGGCAUGCUGGAGGUAUCAGAAGUGCGAAUGCUGACAUAAGUAACGAUAAAGCGGGUGAAAAGCCCGCUCGCCGGAAGACCAAGGGUUCCUGUCCAACGUUAAUCGGGGCAGGGUGAGUCGACCCCUAAGGCGAGGCCGAAAGGCGUAGUCGAUGGGAAACAGGUUAAUAUUCCUGUACUUGGUGUUACUGCGAAGGGGGGACGGAGAAGGCUAUGUUAGCCGGGCGACGGUUGUCCCGGUUUAAGCAUGUAGGCUGAUUGUCCAGGCAAAUCCGGAUAAUCAAGGCUGAGGUGUGAUGACGAGGCACUACGGUGCUGAAGUAACAAAUGCCCUGCUUCCAGGAAAAGCCUCUAAGCAUCAGGUAACAUCAAAUCGUACCCCAAACCGACACAGGUGGUCAGGUAGAGAAUACCAAGGCGCUUGAGAGAACUCGGGUGAAGGAACUAGGCAAAAUGGUGCCGUAACUUCGGGAGAAGGCACGCUGGUGUGUAGGUGAAGCCCCUGCGGGUGGAGCUGAGACCAGUCGAAGAUACCAGCUGGCUGCAACUGUUUAUUAAAAACACAGCACUGUGCAAACACGAAAGUGGACGUAUACGGUGUGACGCCUGCCCGGUGCCGGAAGGUUAAUUGAUGGGGUUAUCCGUAAGGAGAAGCUCUUGAUCGAAGCCCCGGUAAACGGCGGCCGUAACUAUAACGGUCCUAAGGUAGCGAAAUUCCUUGUCGGGUAAGUUCCGACCUGCACGAAUGGCGUAAUGAUGGCCAGGCUGUCUCCACCCGAGACUCAGUGAAAUUGAACUCGCUGUGAAGAUGCAGUGUACCCGCGGCAAGACGGAAAGACCCCGUGAACCUUUACUAUAGCUUGACACUGAACAUUGAGCCUUGAUGUGUAGGAUAGGUGGGAGGCUUUGAAGCGUGGACGCCAGUCUGCGUGGAGCCAACCUUGAAAUACCACCCUUUAAUGUUUGAUGUUCUAACGUUGGCCCCUGACCGGGGUUGCGGACAGUGUCUGGUGGGUAGUUUGACUGGGGCGGUCUCCUCCCAAAGCGUAACGGAGGAGCACGAAGGUUAGCUAAUCCUGGUCGGACAUCAGGAGGUUAGUGCAAUGGCAUAAGCUAGCUUGACUGCGAGCGUGACGGCGCGAGCAGGUGCGAAAGCAGGUCAUAGUGAUCCGGUGGUUCUGAAUGGAAGGGCCAUCGCUCAACGGAUAAAAGGUACUCCGGGGAUAACAGGCUGAUACCGCCCAAGAGUUCAUAUCGACGGCGGUGUUUGGCACCUCGAUGUCGGCUCAUCACAUCCUGGGGCUGAAGUAGGUCCCAAGGGUAUGGCUGUUCGCCAUUUAAAGUGGUACGCGAGCUGGGUUUAGAACGUCGUGAGACAGUUCGGUCCCUAUCUGCCGUGGGCGCUGGAGAAUUGAGGGGGGCUGCUCCUAGUACGAGAGGACCGGAGUGGACGCAUCACUGGUGUUCGGGUUGUCAUGCCAAUGGCACUGCCCGGUAGCUAAAUGCGGAAGAGAUAAGUGCUGAAAGCAUCUAAGCACGAAACUUGCCCCGAGAUGAGUUCUCCCUGAGACUUUAAGUCUCCUGAAGGAACGUUGAAGACGACGACGUUGAUAGGCCGGGUGUGUAAGCGCAGCGAUGCGUUGAGCUAACCGGUACUAAUGAACCGUGAGGCUUAACCUUACAACGCCGAAG